Molecule: small RNA, 127 nt
Filed under: Marmota monax (woodchuck)
Lineage: Eukaryota; Metazoa; Chordata; Mammalia; Rodentia; Sciuridae
Source: RNAcentral
GCUGGGCGUGGUGGUGCAUGCCUGUAAUCCUAGCUGCUUGAGAGGCUGAGGCAAGAGGAUCACAGAUUCAAAGCUAGCCUCAGCAAUUUAGCCAGGGCCUGAGCAACUUAGUGAGAUCCUGUCUCUA